RNAcentral lists this transfer-messenger RNA (371 nucleotides) under uncultured Stackebrandtia sp. It matches the Rfam family "transfer-messenger RNA". Rfam says of the family: Bacterial tmRNA, also known as 10Sa RNA or SsrA, is named for its dual tRNA and mRNA-like properties. Its role is to liberate the mRNA from a stalled ribosome. To accomplish this part of the tmRNA is used as a reading frame that ends in a translation stop signal. The record is from RNAcentral. Lineage: Bacteria; Bacillati; Actinomycetota; Actinomycetes; Glycomycetales; Glycomycetaceae.
GGGGCCGAUCGGUUUCGACUCCGUACGUAGAUGUAAGGGAAGCGGGUCGAGGAAGCCAACGUCGUCUCGUUAAUCGUCGUUGGAAAUCACAAGUGCGAAUUCUAAACGCGCUGACUUCGCCCUCGCUGCAUAAGCAGGGAAGGAAGUCUGUCGGUCCGGGCGCGCGUCCGUCCCGGUCACCGGCAUAAUCUUAGGACGCUAGGCGGUCAGUUCGGCCACGGAGCCGACUGCGACACCAACAGUGGCUGGAGCCCGUCACACCAACUUGUUCGCGUGAUUGGUGGGGCUCGAGUAAAGGCAUAGUGAACUGCACCCGGAGAAGCCUUACUGAACCGGCGGAGGACCAGGGUUCGAUUCCCUGCGGCUCCACA